Pecten maximus is the source of this 898-nucleotide long non-coding RNA. RefSeq lists it as uncharacterized. The transcript is spliced from 3 exons. The record is from RefSeq and is a predicted model, not a curated record. Lineage: Eukaryota; Metazoa; Mollusca; Bivalvia; Pectinida; Pectinidae.
AACUAUGGUUGUUGGUGGUCCGGUGAGUUUGGAGUACUGGUAACUAUGGUUGUUGGUGGUGAGGUGAGUUUGGAGUACUGGUAACUAUGGUUGUUGGUGGUGAGUUUGGAGUACUGGUAACUAUGGUUGUUGGUGGUGAGUUUGGAGUACUGGUAACUAUGGUUGUUGGUGGUGAGGUGAGUUUGGAGUACUAAUAACUAUGGCUGUUGGUGGUCCGGUGAGUUUGGAGUACUGGUAACUAUGGUUGUUGGUGGUCCGGUGAGUUUGGAGUACUGAUAACUAUGGUUGUUGGUGGUGAGGUGAGUUUGGAGUACUGAUAACUAUGGUUGUUGGUGGUGAGGUGAGUUUGGAGUACUGGUAACUAUGGUUGUUGGUGAGGUGAGUUUGGAGUACUGGUAACUAUGGUUGUUGUUGUCGAGGUGAGUUUGGAGUACUGGUAACUAUGGUUGUUGGUGGUGAGGUGAGUUUGGAGUACUGGUAACUAUGGUUGUUGGUGAGGUGAGUUUGGAGUACUGGUAACUAUGGUUGUUGUUGUCGAGGUGAGUUUGGAGUACUGGUAACUAUGGUUGUUGGUGGUGAGGUGAGUUUGGAGUACUGGUAACUAUGGUUGUUGGUGGUGAGUUUGGAGUACUGGUAACUAUGGUUGUUGUUGGUGAGGUGAGUUUGGAGUACUGAUAACUAUGGUUGUUGGUGGUGAGGUGAGUUUGGAGUACUGGUAACUAUGGUUGUUGGUGGUGAGGUGAGUUUGGAGUACUGAUAACUAUGGUUGUUGGUGGUGAGGUGAGUUUGGAGUACUGGUAACUAUGGUUGUUGUUGUCGAGGUGAGUUUGGAGUACUGGUAACUAUGGUUGUUGUUGUCGAGGUGAGUUUGGAGUACUGGUAACUAUGGUUGUUGUUG